UACGGAGGGGGCUAGCGUUGUUCGGAAUUACUGGGCGUAAAGGGCGCGCAGGCGGCUGCUCAAGUCAGGCGUGAAAGGCCCGGGCUCAACCCGGGAAUUGCGCUUGAGACUGGGCUGGCUUGAGUGCGGGAGAGGAUGGUGGAAUUCCCAGUGUAGAGGUGAAAUUCGUAGAUAUUGGGAAGAACACCGGUGGCGAAGGCGGCCAUCUGGACCGCAACUGACGCUGAGGCGCGAAAGCGUGGGGAGCAAACAGG
Molecule: ribosomal RNA, 254 nt
Filed under: uncultured bacterium
Lineage: Bacteria
Description: partial 16S ribosomal RNA
Rfam family: Bacterial small subunit ribosomal RNA
Source: RNAcentral